AGUGAACGCUGGCGGUAGGCCUAACACAUGCAAGUCGAACGGCAGCACAGUAAGAGCUUGCUCUUACGGGUGGCGAGUGGCGGACGGGUGAGGAAUACAUCGGAAUCUACUUUUUCGUGGGGGAUAACGUAGGGAAACUUACGCUAAUACCGCAUACGACCUACGGGUGAAAGCAGGGGAUCUUCGGACCUUGCGCGAUUGAAUGAGCCGAUGUCGGAUUAGCUAGUUGGCGGGGUAAAGGCCCACCAAGGCGACGAUCCGUAGCUGGUCUGAGAGGAUGAUCAGCCACACUGGAACUGAGACACGGUCCAGACUCCUACGGGAGGCAGCAGUGGGGAAUAUUGGACAAUGGGCGCAAGCCUGAUCCAGCCAUACCGCGUGGGUGAAGAAGGCCUUCGGGUUGCAAAGCCCUUUUGUUGGGAAAGAAAAGCAGAAGGUUAAUACCCCGCUGUUCUGGCGGUACCCAAAGAAUAAGCACCGGCUAACUUCGUG
RNAcentral lists this ribosomal RNA (492 nucleotides) under uncultured bacterium. RNAcentral's name for it is "partial 16S ribosomal RNA". It matches the Rfam family "Bacterial small subunit ribosomal RNA", at positions 29 to 507 of the family's 1533-position model. The record is from RNAcentral.